ACGGAAGGCAGCAGUGGGGGAUAUUGCACAAUGGAGGAAACUCUGAUGCAGCAACGCCGCGUGAGGGAAGAAGGUUUUCGGAUUGUAAACCUCUGUUUUUAGUGAAGAAACAAAUGACGGUAGCUAAAGAGGAAGCCACGGCUAACUACGUGCCAGCAGCCGCGGUAAUACGUAGGUUGCAAGCGUUGUCCGGAUUUACUGGGUGUAAAGGGCGUGUAGGCGGAGCUGCAAGUCAGAUGUGAAAUCCCGGGGCUCAACCCCGGAACUGCAUUUGAAACUGUAGCCCUUGAGUAUCGGAGAGGCAAGCGGAAUUCCUAGUGUAGCGGUGAAAUGCGUAGAUAUUAGGAGGAACACCAGUGGCGAAGGCGGCUUGCUGGACGACAACUGACGCUGAGGCGCGAAAGCGUGGGGAGCAAACAGGAUUAGAUACCCUGGUA
Molecule: ribosomal RNA, 437 nt
Filed under: uncultured Oscillospiraceae bacterium
Lineage: Bacteria; Bacillati; Bacillota; Clostridia; Eubacteriales; Oscillospiraceae
Description: bacterial SSU rRNA
Rfam family: Bacterial small subunit ribosomal RNA
Source: RNAcentral